GACGAACGCUGGCGGCAUGCUUAACACAUGCAAGUCGAACGGAAAGGCCCUGCUUUUGUGGGGUGCUCGAGUGGCGAACGGGUGAGUAACACGUGAGUAACCUGCCCUUGACUUUGGGAUAACUUCAGGAAACUGGGGCUAAUACCGGAUAGGAGCUCCUGCUGCCUGGUGGGGGUUGGAAAGUUUCGGCGGUUGGGGAUGGACUCGCGGCUUAUCAGCUUGUUGGUGGGGUAGUGGCUUACCAAGGCUUUGACGGGUAGCCGGCCUGAGAGGGUGACCGGCCACAUUGGGACUGAGAUACGGCCCAGACUCCUACGGGAGGCAGCAGUGGGGAAUAUUGCACAAUGGGCGGAAGCCUGAUGCAGCAACGCCGCGUGCGGGAUGACGGCCUUCGGGUUGUAAACCGCUUUCGCCUGUGACGAAGCGUGAGUGACGGUAAUGGGUAAAGAAGCACCGGCUAACUACGUG
Molecule: ribosomal RNA, 468 nt
Filed under: uncultured bacterium
Lineage: Bacteria
Description: partial 16S ribosomal RNA
Rfam family: Bacterial small subunit ribosomal RNA
Source: RNAcentral